CUACCGGGGUAUCUAAUCCUGUUUGCUCCCCACGCUUUCGCACCUCAGCGUCAGUACCGGACCAGUGAGCCGCCUUCGCCACUGGUGUUCUUCCUAAUAUCUACGAAUUCCACCUCUACACUAGGAGUUCCACUCACCUCUUCCGGACUCUAGGUCGCCAGUAUCAAAGGCAGUUCUGGAGUUGAGCUCCAGGAUUUCACCCCUGACUUAACGACCCGCCUACGUGCGCUUUACGCCCAGUAAAUCCGAACAACGCUAGCCCCCUUCGUAUUACCGCGGCUGCUGGCAC
RNAcentral lists this ribosomal RNA (289 nucleotides) under uncultured Hyphomicrobiales bacterium. RNAcentral describes it as "uncultured Rhizobiales bacterium partial 16S ribosomal RNA". The record is from RNAcentral. Lineage: Bacteria; Pseudomonadati; Pseudomonadota; Alphaproteobacteria; Hyphomicrobiales.